Molecule: transfer RNA, 74 nt
Filed under: Pediococcus pentosaceus
Lineage: Bacteria; Bacillati; Bacillota; Bacilli; Lactobacillales; Lactobacillaceae
Also listed under: 2 other names
Description: tRNA-Met
Rfam family: tRNA
About the family: Transfer RNA (tRNA) molecules are approximately 80 nucleotides in length.
Source: RNAcentral
CGCGGGGUGGAGCAGUCUGGUAGCUCGUCGGGCUCAUAACCCGAAGGUCGUAGGUUCAAAUCCUGCUCCCGCAA